RNA transcript from Brienomyrus brachyistius, 3332 nucleotides. It is a transcript of the gene named heterogeneous nuclear ribonucleoprotein U-like protein 1, with no coding region annotated. The transcript is spliced from 17 exons. NCBI's taxonomy places the organism in Eukaryota, Metazoa, Chordata, Actinopteri, Osteoglossiformes, Mormyridae. The record is from RefSeq and is a predicted model, not a curated record.
GUUCAUUUCUUUGGCAGAAGGUAGGGGGCGGUAAUGGGGCAGAGGCUGCUUAACGCGUCACCAUUACGCGAAUGUGGAGCAGCUGUCGGACACGUCCAGCAGUCGGCAUGAGCGGCGCGGACAUGAAGAAGCACCCGGUAAACGAGCUGAAGGAGCAGCUAGACAUCCGGGAGGCUUCCGCGGAGGCAGCGGGACUUAGCGGCGGGGAUCCCGGUUUCGCAGUGUGUCGUCAUGCAGAUAAGAAAGAUGAAAAUGAGCACCUGGAAAAGGAGACCGGGCAAGGUGAAGAGAUCAAGGAGGAGGGAGGUCAAGAGUUCAACCCCCACAUGAGAGGUUUCGAUCACGAAGCUGGUGAAGAAAGCCUGGAGAUUUUGGGAGACCAUCGGACUAAACCAGAUGUAGGGCUGCAUCCUGGUCAGCAGCCUUGGUUUGAUGUGAAAACGGAGGAGGAAGAGGAAUCUGGGCAGCCAGAUGAAUGUCAUCAGGCACGGGGGGCGGUCGAUAACUGGGAGGAGGAAGAGGGCACCAAGGAAGUGCGGUACGGCCGCAAGAGGCCAUACAAGGAGGACAGUGCACACAGCUACUAUGAGCACUGUGAAGACAAGAGGUUCCGGUGCCCCCCGCCUCCAGCGGAAGAAGAUGAAGAAGACUUUGAUGACUCCCUUGUGACUAUUGACACCUAUAACUGUGAUUUGCACUUCAAGGUUUCCCGUGACCGGUACAGUGGCUACCCCCUGACCAUCGAGGGCUUUGCGUACCUGUGGUCCGGAGCCCGGGCCUCGUAUGGAGUCAGCAGAGGUCGUAUCUGCUAUGAGAUGAAGAUAAAUGAGGAAAUUUCAGUGAAGCAUUUGCCAAGCAGCGAGCCCGACCCUCAUGUGGCGAGAAUAGGCUGGUCUCUGGAUUCGUGUAGCACACAGCUUGGUGAGGAAGCUUUCUCAUAUGGGUAUGGGGGAACCGGGAAGAAAUCAUCUAACUGUAAAUUCGAGGAUUAUGGAGAAAAGUUUGGCGAGAAUGAUGUCAUCGGGUGCUUCAUAGACUUCGAAAGCAGUGACGAAGUGGAGAUGGCCUUCUCGAAGAACGGGAGGUAUCUAGGUGUGGCCUUCCACGUGGCAAAGGCAGAGCUUGCUGGACGGUCGCUUUUCCCUCACGUCCUCGUCAAGAACUGCGCUGUUGAGUUCAACUUUGGCCAGCAGGAGCAGCCAAACUUCCCACCACUGGAGAACUACACCUUCAUUCAACAUGUCCGGCUGGGGGAUAGGAUGAGGGGGGCGGUUGGCCCAGCAACCAGAUCUGACUGUGAGAUCCUGAUGAUGGUGGGCCUACCUGCAUCAGGGAAGACCACAUGGGCCAUCAAGUAUGCUCUGGAGAACCCUGGAAAGAAGUACAACAUUCUGGGAACAAACUCCAUCAUGGAGAAGAUGAAGGUCAUGGGUCUUCGUCGACAGAGGAACUAUGCGGGGCGCUGGGACAUCCUGAUCCAGCAAGCCACACAGUGCUUGAAUCGGCUGAUCCAGAUUGCUGCUCGGAAGAGGCGCAACUACAUCCUGGACCAGACAAAUGUCUAUGGAUCGGCCCAGAGACGGAAAAUGCGCCCUUUUGAAGGUUUCCAGCGCAAAGCUGUUGUGAUCUGUCCAACUGAGGAGGACCUGAAAGAACGAACGAAAAGGCAGAUCGAAGAGGAGGGAAAGGACGUGCCUGACCAGGCGGUGCUGGAGAUGAAGGCGAACUUCGUUCUCCCCGAGUCUGGUGACUUCCUCGACGAGGUGCUGUUUGUGGAGCUCCACCACGAGGAGGCCGCCCUGCUGGUGAAGCAGUAUAAUGAGGAAGGCCGCAAGGCGGGACCGCCGGCCGACCGGCGCAACGAGGGCCGGCAGGCCGGUUACCGUGGUCGUGGCGGAUACCAGCAUUAUGAGAACCGCGCCGGGCCCCCGGGAGGCUACCAGAACCGUGGCGGGGGCUUCCGGGGGGGAUACAACUGUGGCGGCAACCACCAGAACCGAUGGAGCAAUCAGCGGGACAGCGCCUCCGGUGGCAGGGAUGGCUACGGACGCAACUAUUCCGGAGGCUACAGUCACAGCCGACAGGGUCCUUAUGCCAAGGGAGUGUACAGUCAGGGCUACAGCCAGGGGUACAAUCAAGGCUAUGAGCAAGACAACUACAACCCUGGUUACUAUGGCAACUACAGCCAGUAUCCUGGAUACGAGCAAAGCUACAGUGAGCCUUCAGCACAUGCCUACAAUCAGCAGCCGAACUACAAUCAGCAGUACCAGCAGUAUGCACAACAAUGGCAGCAGUACUACCAGAAUCAGAGCCAGUGGAACCAGUACUACGGCCAGUAUGGCGACUACUCCAACCAGAGCUCCCAGGGCAGUCAAGGUGGGCGUUAGCCCCACCCCCCUCGGACCCCGGGCCAGCUGUCCUUGGGGCUGCUGGCAUCUCGUGGGCUUACUCAGCCCAGGGGGUGUUCCACAAAGCAAGAUUUCUCAGUUAGACUAGUCGCGGUUCACCCCACGCUGUCGGCGGGUUUGCUGUGCGUUCGACCCCUCGGCCCACGGUCAGGAUGGGACAUGCCCACUGCUCUGGCUCUCUGUCUAGCUUCUACUCAGUUCCACCAACUUUGCCCUCGAAACGGCAGCUUUGGUGUCUUUACAAAUAACGACCUCAAAAAACAAAAGAGGAAAAAAAAAACGCAUAGAGUGCCCCCCCCCCCAGUUAGUGGAUCUGCCAGAGGUGGAAAUUUCAGGUCUAGAUAGUAAAAAAAGAUUUUCCGCCUCUGCGAGCCGCCCACAUGGUGAUGUCCCUGGUACAGUGGUAGCAGAGGGCAACCGUUCCAGGUGUUCCAGUCCCAGUGCGGGAGCGACCGCAGCUGUCCUUGAUUACGGAGCGCCCAUCUCGGAUGCAUCCUUUCGUUUUAAGGUUAAGUUCAUUACCGAGGGCUGGGUUCCUGGCCCAUCUUCUGCUGCACUGAUGAAGGUAGUGGAAUGUCUGUAGUGGACAUUCGCAGAGUCAAGCCCGUAAAUCAGUGCAUUGUGAAGAAAUUAACCCACAGUUGCAUCUUUUUAAAAAGAUAAUUUAUGUGAGCAAUAUAUGAAACCAGGGGUGUUGGAGGGGCGUAGAUACCCUGGCAGAUUCGGAGGGGGCCGGGCAUUUUACAGGAACCCUUGAAUAUGUAAAAUUAUUAAAUUAUAUCAUGUAAGGGACAUGGGAGGGGGCAGAAUGUUUAGCUACUGUAUAUCCACGGUUCCCAUGAUUUUGAGUGUCAACUAUUGUUUACUAGUUUUGUGGUAGUUUUGCGUUAAGUACUAAAUCUAUUAAAUGUGAUAUUAUUGCUG